UACGUAGGGGGCGAGCGUUAAUCGGAAUUACUGGGCGUAAAGCGUGCGCAGGCGGUUUUGUUAGACAGAGGUGGAAUCCCCGGGCUCAACCUGGGAACUGGCUUUGUGACUGCAUGACUAGAGUACGGCAGAGGGGGAUUGAAUUCCGCGUGUAGCAGUGAAAUGCGUAGAUAUGCGGAGGAACACCGAUGGCGAAGGCAAUCCCCAGGGCCUGUACUUACGCUCAUGCACGAAAGCGUGGGGAGCAAACAGG
This 253-nucleotide ribosomal RNA is filed under the name uncultured bacterium. RNAcentral's name for it is "partial 16S ribosomal RNA". It matches the Rfam family "Bacterial small subunit ribosomal RNA", at positions 524 to 776 of the family's 1533-position model. The record is from RNAcentral.